Molecule: non-coding RNA, 73 nt
Organism: Podarcis lilfordi (Lilford's wall lizard)
Lineage: Eukaryota; Metazoa; Chordata; Lepidosauria; Squamata; Lacertidae
Source: the annotation of a GenBank genome assembly
GCUGGGAUAGCUCAGUUGGUAGAGCAUGAGACUCCUGAUCUCAAGGUUGUGGGUUCGAGCCCUAUGUUGGGCA